RNAcentral lists this ribosomal RNA (260 nucleotides) under uncultured archaeon. RNAcentral describes it as "partial 16S ribosomal RNA". It matches the Rfam family "Archaeal small subunit ribosomal RNA", at positions 748 to 1008 of the family's 1478-position model. The record is from RNAcentral.
AGGGUGUAAACGCUGCAGACUUGGUGUUGGGGGCCCUUUGGGGGCAUUCAGUGCCGGAGAGAAGUUGUUAAGUCUGCUACUUGGGGAGUACGUCCGCAAGGAUGAAACUUAAAGGAAUUGGCAGGGAGCACCGCAACGGGAGGAGCGUGCGGUUUAAUUGGAUUCAACACCGUAAAACUCACCAGGGAAGACUGUUACAUGAAGGCCGAGAUGAAGACUCUGCUAGAUUUUCAGAGAGGAGGUGCAUGGCGUCAGUGACU